This is a long non-coding RNA of Salvia miltiorrhiza (redroot sage), 849 nucleotides long. RefSeq lists it as uncharacterized. Lineage: Eukaryota; Viridiplantae; Streptophyta; Magnoliopsida; Lamiales; Lamiaceae. The record is from RefSeq and is a predicted model, not a curated record. The transcript is spliced from 4 exons.
GGGGGAAAGGGACGUGGGAUAAGGAGCAGCUGCAGUAAUCAGCCACCCUACUCUACAGCUACAACUACAUCCCAUCCCCAUCUCUGCUACAGAAAUCAGCCGCCCCACUUCACCAAUCUGUUAGUCAAAGGUUCUACAAUUUUUUUCAAGUUUGGCAGCAACUCUUUCCAUUUUUGCUGCUUGCAGCAACAUUCCCUUUUGUCAACAUUUGCAGCUACAACCACGCCCUAUCAGCCACUCUACUGUUGUACUGCUCAAUGAUCACACAACCCCUACUUUAGUCUCACAUUUCUGCUCCCAACACUUCACACUUCUCCUCCAUCUUGCACCAGCGAAUGCAAAGAGCAAAGGGGACUUGUUUGAAUAUUCUGCCAAGACUUCAAGUUCAGUUGAUCCAUCCAACACUGAAGAAGGGUGAAGGAACCCUCAUUCAUUACUCUGACUCAACCAGAAAAAAAAAAAAACUUCAAGAGAUAUUUCACAACACGUUCAAUUCCAACAACAACCCAAUUGUUUGAAAGCAUUCAAGGUCAAGGUCGGGAAUAACAGUCAAUCAAGGAACCACUGAAUCACAGAGAUUUCAUAUCAGGUUGAGCAGCUGCCGAUGGUGAUGAAGUGACGAGCGGGAUUCUUUUGUCUUAUUAUGUAUUAAUGAACUCUAGGGUUACAUGUCUUCAUACAUGUAAUCAGAACCUUAUUCCGCUGCGUACUCAGAAGUUUUAUGUUUAUUUGGCUAAGUCAGAGAUAUCUGAACUUACUAGUUAUUUGAGUCUAUACGACUAAACUUCUGUUAUAUUAUAAAUAUUCCUUUUGUUAAAUGAUGAAAUGUGAUCCUUUCUUGUUUGAUUA